This 76-nucleotide transfer RNA is filed under the name Candidatus Bathyarchaeota archaeon. Its description in RNAcentral is "tRNA-Thr". It matches the Rfam family "tRNA". Rfam says of the family: Transfer RNA (tRNA) molecules are approximately 80 nucleotides in length. Their secondary structure includes four short double-helical elements and three loops (D, anti-codon, and T loops). Further hydrogen bonds mediate the characteristic L-shaped molecular structure. tRNAs have two regions of fundamental functional importance: the anti-codon, which is responsible for specific mRNA codon recognition, and the 3' end, to which the tRNAs corresponding amino acid is attached (by aminoacyl-tRNA synthetases). tRNAs cope with the degeneracy of the genetic code in two manners: having more than one tRNA (with a specific anti-codon) for a particular amino acid; and 'wobble' base-pairing, i.e. permitting non-standard base-pairing at the 3rd anti-codon position. The record is from RNAcentral. RNAcentral also lists the same sequence under 1 other name. Lineage: Archaea; Thermoproteati; Candidatus Bathyarchaeota.
GCCCCGGUAGCUUAGUGGUUAUAGCAGCGGCCUCGUAAGCCGCGGGUCGCGGGUUCAAAUCCCGCCCGGGGCUCCA